This is a long non-coding RNA of Ornithorhynchus anatinus (platypus), 548 nucleotides long. RefSeq lists it as uncharacterized. The record is from RefSeq and is a predicted model, not a curated record. Lineage: Eukaryota; Metazoa; Chordata; Mammalia; Monotremata; Ornithorhynchidae. The transcript is spliced from 2 exons.
UUUCCGAGUUGCUUUUGCAAUAAUUACCUCACCUUAUCCCUGGUAGACUGGAAGGAUCAGAAGAAGGAUCUGAAGCCCGCAGAGGGCCACACUGCCUAUCUUAUUCCGCCUCUCCAGGGAUGGGAAUUUAAACUGAGGCUAAUCCAGAAGACGCCGGUCACCGACGACACCGACGAUAGGAUGAAAAGGCGGGCCCAAGAUUUCCAGCUUCCAGAGACCCCCCUAGAAGAACGAACGAGAGAAUCGUAUCCGGGGGCAGGCGUCCGCAAGGAAUGUUGACCCCUAGGGAAACAGAAGUCGCUAGGCCCGCUCCCUGUAGAAAAAUUCCUCUUCUUCGUGCGCUCUCGACAUCUUCAAGGCAACCUACUCCUCUCUCUCAGUAACCUAUAGCUCUUUCCGUGAUGUUUUUACAUGGGAGAUAGCCGCUUUUGGAGCUUUGCAGUUCACAAGUUCUGGUGUACCAAAUCCUGGCUUCCUGGUCGUGCAGUGCGGCUGAGAAAAUGCAGAUGGGAACCUCUGCUGUUUUAUAUUAAAGUCUGGGAAAUGUC